AGAUGAAAGCCAAAAAAGAGGCAUCUAGCUGUUAAUUAGAAAACUGUAAAGCUUAUUACUCAUUUAG
This 67-nucleotide transfer RNA is filed under the name Splendrillia sp. 2 MNHN IM 2013-9750. Its description in RNAcentral is "tRNA-Asn". The record is from RNAcentral. Lineage: Eukaryota; Metazoa; Mollusca; Gastropoda; Neogastropoda; Drilliidae.